Molecule: ribosomal RNA, 497 nt
Filed under: uncultured bacterium
Lineage: Bacteria
Description: partial 16S ribosomal RNA
Rfam family: Bacterial small subunit ribosomal RNA
Source: RNAcentral
GAUGAACGCUGGCGGCGUGCCUAAUACAUGCAAGUCGAGCGAACGGACGAGAAGCUUGCUUCUCUGAUGUUAGCGGCGGACGGGUGAGUAACACGUGGAUAACCUACCUAUAAGACUGGGAUAACUUCGGGAAACCGUAGCUAAUACCGGAUAAUAUUUUGAACCGCAUGGUUCAAAAGUGAAAGACGGUCUUGCUGUCACUUAUAGAUGGAUCCGCGCUGCAUUAGCUAGUUGGUAAGGUAACGGCUUACCAAGGCAACGAUGCAUAGCCGACCUGAGAGGGUGAGCGGCCACACUGGAACUGAGACACGGUCCAGACUCCUACGGGAGGCAGCAGUAGGGAAUCUUCCGCAAUGGGCGAAAGCCUGACGGAGCAACGCCGCGUGAGUGAUGAAGGUCUUCGGAUCGUAAAACUCUGUUAUUAGGGAAGAACAUAUGUGUAAGUAAAUGUGCACAUCUUGACGGUACCUAAUCAGAAAGCCACGGCUAACUACGUG